GAAGCUGACCAGACAGUCGCCGCUUCGUCGUCGUCCUUUCGGGGAGACGGGCGGAGGGGAGGAAAGUCCGGGCUCCAUAGGGCAGGGUGCCAGGUAACGCCUGGGGGGGAAACCCACGACCAGUGCAACAGAGCAAACCGCCGAUGGCCCACGUAAGUGGGAUCAGGUAAGGGUGAAAGGGUGCGGUAAGAGCGCACCGCGCGGCUGGUAACAGUCCGUGGCACGGUAAACUCCACCCGGAGCAAGGCCAAAUAGGGGUUCAUAAGGUACGGCCCGUACUGAACCCGGGUAGGCUGCUUGAGCCAGUGAGCGAUUGCUGGCCUAGAUGAAUGACUGUCCACGACAGAACCCGGCUUAUCGGUCAGUUUCACUU
RNAcentral lists this RNase P RNA (373 nucleotides) under Salmonella enterica subsp. enterica serovar Typhimurium. RNAcentral's name for it is "RNase P RNA component class A". It matches the Rfam family "Bacterial RNase P class A". Rfam says of the family: Ribonuclease P (RNase P) is a ubiquitous endoribonuclease, found in archaea, bacteria and eukarya as well as chloroplasts and mitochondria. Its best characterised activity is the generation of mature 5'-ends of tRNAs by cleaving the 5'-leader elements of precursor-tRNAs. Lineage: Bacteria; Pseudomonadati; Pseudomonadota; Gammaproteobacteria; Enterobacterales; Enterobacteriaceae. The record is from RNAcentral.